RNAcentral lists this unclassified non-coding RNA (340 nucleotides) under uncultured fungus. RNAcentral describes it as "partial contains small subunit ribosomal RNA, internal transcribed spacer 1, and 5.8S ribosomal RNA". The stretch from base 1 to 73 matches the Rfam family "Eukaryotic small subunit ribosomal RNA", at positions 1759 to 1831 of the family's 1831-position model. The record is from RNAcentral. Lineage: Eukaryota; Fungi.
UCAAACUUGGUCAUUUAGAGGAAGUAAAAGUCGUAACAAGGUCUCCGUUGGUGAACCAGCGGAGGGAUCAUUAGAGGGUCGAGAGACCACCUACUGUUCUUAACCAUACCGCGUACCUAGCCGGAAAACUUAUGUCUCUGCCUCGGCGGCGGCCCCAGGGGGGGCCUCUGCUCGCUAAGCCGCAACCCGCGGCGCGGCGGGCGCCGCCGGUGGCGCCUAAACUAAAAAGCAUUGUAAGUGGGUUAUACCACUGCAAAAGAACAAACAAUAUAAAAUAUCAAAACCCAUUACAACCUGCAACAACGGAUCUCUUGGCUCCGGCAUCGAUGAAGAACGCAGC